Molecule: unclassified non-coding RNA, 243 nt
Filed under: Hevea brasiliensis (rubber tree)
Lineage: Eukaryota; Viridiplantae; Streptophyta; Magnoliopsida; Malpighiales; Euphorbiaceae
Source: RNAcentral
AUAAGAAUAAGAUGACUGCAUGUAUUACAAGGAAAAGGAAUCCGUGCAUGUACUUGUUAAGAAUCUUUUAAAAUUUUAGUUCAUCUUAUUAUCUAUCCCAGGCCUGAUUGACAAUUAGAAUACGUCUUUCUUUCUUUCCCUUGUCCUAGUUCUUUCUUCAUUACAAUAUUACGUGCAAAGGUUACAGUGAUAAAACUUCAAAAGACGAAGGAGAACUAUACUGAAGUAUUUGAAUAUACAAAA